UCCUACGGGGGGCAGCAGUAGGGAAUUUUCGUCAAUGGGCGCAAGCCUGAACGAGCAAUGCCGCGUGAAGGAAGAAGGCUUUCGGGUUGUAAACUUCUUUUCUCAGGGACGAAGCAAGUGACGGUACCUGAGGAAUAAGCCACGGCUAACUACGUGCCAGCAGCCGCGGUAAUACGUAGGUGGCAAACAUUAUCCGGAUUUACUGGGUGUAAAGGGCGUGUAGGCGGGACU
RNAcentral lists this ribosomal RNA (231 nucleotides) under uncultured bacterium. RNAcentral's name for it is "partial 16S ribosomal RNA". It matches the Rfam family "Bacterial small subunit ribosomal RNA", at positions 337 to 582 of the family's 1533-position model. The record is from RNAcentral.